RNAcentral lists this ribosomal RNA (370 nucleotides) under uncultured cyanobacterium. Its description in RNAcentral is "bacterial SSU rRNA". It matches the Rfam family "Bacterial small subunit ribosomal RNA", at positions 376 to 761 of the family's 1533-position model. The record is from RNAcentral. Lineage: Bacteria; Bacillati; Cyanobacteriota.
CGAAAGCCUGACGGAGCAAUACCGCGUGAGGGAGGAAGGCUCUUGGGUCGUAAACCUCUUUUGUCAGGGAAGAAGCUCUGACGGUACCUGACGAAUCAGCAUCGGCUAACUCCGUGCCAGCAGCCGCGGUAAUACGGAGGAUGCAAGCGUUAUCCGGAAUUAUUGGGCGUAAAGCGUCCGCAGGUGGUUGUUCAAGUCUGCUGUCAAAGCGUGGAGCUUAACUCCAUAUCGGCGGUGGAAACUGAGCGACUAGAGUUCGGUAGGGGUAGCGGGAAUUCCCAGUGUAGCGGUGAAAUGCGUAGAUAUUGGGAAGAACACCGGCGGCGAAAGCGCGCUACUGGGCCGAAACUGACACUCAUGGACGAAAGCU